CCCGCACAAGCGGAGGAACAUGUGGUUUAAUUCGAUGAUACGCGAGGAACCUUACCUGGGCUUAAAUGUAGAGUGCUAUUUUUUAGAGAUAGAAAUUCCCUUCGGGGCUUUCUGCAAGGUGCUGCAUGGUUGUCGUCAGCUCGUGCCGUGAGGUGUCGGGUUAAGUCCCAUAACGAGCGCAACCCUUAUCGUUAGUUGCCAGCUGGUAAAGCAGGGGACUCUAGCGAAACUGCCACCGUAAGGUGAGAGGAAGGUGGGGAUGACGUCAAAUCAGCACGGCCCUUAUGUCCAGGGCUACACACGUGUUACAAUGGCCGGCACAGAGGGCAGCUACCUGGUGACAGGAUGCUAAUCUCGAAAACCGGUCUCAGUUCGGAUCGAAGUCUGCAACUCGACUUCGUGAAGUUGGAAUCGCUAGUAAUCGCGGAUCAGCAUGCCGCGGUGAAUACGUUCCCGGGCCUU
This 462-nucleotide ribosomal RNA is filed under the name uncultured Sphingobacteriales bacterium. RNAcentral describes it as "bacterial SSU rRNA". It matches the Rfam family "Bacterial small subunit ribosomal RNA", at positions 920 to 1382 of the family's 1533-position model. The record is from RNAcentral. Lineage: Bacteria; Pseudomonadati; Bacteroidota; Sphingobacteriia; Sphingobacteriales.